AAACACACUAGCUCUCCUCUCAAGAACAUCUUAUUCUCUCUUCUUUUCUUCUUUAUCCCUACAUUCUAUCUCAACCUUUUUUCUGUAUCUCUGUUCUUCAAAAGUUUACAUUGUGAACCUAAAUUAGUUCAUAUAGAGCUUGAAGAUUGAUUCAACUCCGUACAAAAUUUCUUGAAAAUCAAAGAAGCAAGGAUGAGUAUCAAUGGAGGCCAAAAAGGCACUACAAAUAUUGUUGUACGGAUGGUAGUUGUAACGACCUGAUUGGUCAUUUGAGCUUUUGCACUUUGAUCUCCAGUUCUCGGGCAUGACUCUCCCGGUGUGAUGUAUUACGACUGAUGUAGAUCAUUGAUUUUGGUUUCGGGAAAAAGAAACGAAAUAAAUUUGAAAGGACAGUUUCAGUUAAAAGCUCUGAAUUUGAAAGGUUUGACUACCAAGAGUUGAAUUAUUUGUAUAUGAGCUAGGAUCGGAAUUUUUAUGAUUUGGCUAGCUCAGUUGGGUGAUUUAUGACUUAGGAGCAUGAUCAGAAUUGGUUUUGGAGGUUUGGAGUAGAAUUUGGCUUGAAUUGGCGAAGUUUAGAUUUUGGCGAUUUCCAGUUUAUAGGUGAGAUUUUGAUAUAGAGGUCGGAAUAGAAUUAUGAGAGUUGCAGUAGCUUCGUUAUGUCAUUUGGGGGUGUGCAAAUUUUCAGGUCAUUCGGACAAGGUAUGAUAGACAUGUUGAUUGAAUUCGGAAUCCGGAAGUUUUGGUAUUCUUAGGCUUGAAUCCGAGGGUGAUUAGAUAUUUUGAUAUUGUUUUGAUCGUUCCGAAUGUUGGAACAAGUUUGAAUUAUGUCAUAGGGCAUGUUGUCAUGUUUGAUCGGGGUCCCAUGAGACUCUGAUAAGUUUUGGAAGAGUUUUCGGAAGAUUUUGCCGUUUUGAGCAUGAGCAUGUACUGAUCCAAAAGUCCAUUUUUAGUUCUAGAGAUUGGAAUUUGAUUUUGAGACUUCCAAAAUUUUGAUAAUGAGUUAUAGAAGUGAUCUGGAAAGUUUGGUCUAAUUUCAUUAAGUCGCGAUUGGGUUUUUGACGUGAAUCAUGAGUUAAUUGUUUAACGAGCGAAAUGGAUAUCGCACUGAGCAAACGAGCUCCGAAUUGAGUU
RNAcentral lists this long non-coding RNA (1131 nucleotides) under Nicotiana benthamiana. RNAcentral's name for it is "long non-coding RNA (NBEN_LNC028449)". The record is from RNAcentral. Lineage: Eukaryota; Viridiplantae; Streptophyta; Magnoliopsida; Solanales; Solanaceae.